AGUGUGUUGUUUAUGGCCACGGUGUACCGGAAACUGGUGCCAUCUUUUAGGCGUCAGCUGCCUACAAGACGUGAAAUACGAAAUAUUUCUAUCUUUUCUUACCUCCCAGUUCUCUCUCUACCGAACACCCUGGCAAUCACUGAUCUCAAUUCAACUUGUUUAGUUUUGCUCCACUGUACUUUUAUAAUUAGAAAACACAGUUUGCAUAUCCAGAGUUUAAAAGACAGAAACAAACAAAUGAACAAACAACAACAGUAAAAAAGAGAAAGGAAAGCAAGAUGCGAGCGAUCCUUGGGAGCCAGGAGCUGGUGGCUCAGACCCAGCUUUUCUGGAAUCACAAUGGAAAGGAGUCACAGGUAACAAGGCUUAUAAAAAAAGAAAGAGAGAGAGAGAGAGAGAGAGAGAGAGAGAGAGAGAGAGAGAGAGAGAGAGAGAAGAGACGAGACGAGACGAGACGAGACGAGACGAGACGAGACGAGACGAGACGAGACGAGACGAGACGAGACGAGAAGAGAAGAGAAGAGAAGAGAAGAGAAGAGAAGAGAAGAGAAAAAAAGAAGAAAAGUGAGAAGCAUGAAAAUUGGCAAGCAGCAGUGUGGUCUGGAGACAGCUUCUGAAACCUAAGGUUGGGGUGGGGGUUACUGUGAAAGCAGGUGGGGUUUGUGGUCAAGGGAAAAGAACACAGAUGGCAACAUCCCUGAUGCUUUUCAGGACUUUCCUCGACUUCUUCCUGCUGAGUCAGUCGCCCCUUUUGAUGUUGGUACCAGUUGGAUCUGAGCUGUCCCUAAAGUCAUGUGCUGUGGUGGUUUGAAUAGUUUUGCCCCACCCCCAUAGAUUCAUGUUUCAAACCUUGGCCAUAGGAAGUGGCACUAUUAGGAUGCGUGGCCUUAUUGAAGGAAGUACGUCACUGUGUAGGCGGGCUUUGAGGUCUAUAAGCUCCACCCAGUGUGGAAUAGAAUCUCCUCCUGGCUGCCUUUGGAUCAAAAUGUAGAGCUCCCUGCUCCGCCAGCACCAUGUCUCCUGAACACUGCCAUGCUUCCUGCCAUGAUGAUGAUGGACUGAACCUCUGAAACUGCAAACAGCUCCCCAUUAAAUGUUUGCCUUUAUAAGAGUUGCUUUGGUCACAGUGUCUCUUCACAGCAAUAAAACCCAUAAAACC
RNAcentral lists this long non-coding RNA (1159 nucleotides) under Mus musculus (house mouse). RNAcentral describes it as "long non-coding RNA chr8:36493077-36494236". The record is from RNAcentral. Lineage: Eukaryota; Metazoa; Chordata; Mammalia; Rodentia; Muridae.